CCAAAGCUAGGAAGACAGAAGCUAGCUGUCCUCCGGCUACACCAUGGUGCUACCCUACAGAGUGCUGCUGAGGCUACUGUAGACCUUCCUUGCAGAACAGUGCGUUUUAAUCAACUAUUUGGUGACAUGAAUAUAUUUAGUAUAGUUUUAUCUAAAAAGGAUAAUUAAAAAAAAAUGUUUCACUAUUUUUAUUUUUAGGAAAUUCACUCAGGAGGAUGGUCCUCCCCUUCCUCCUCUGAGGAGCCUCCACUGCGAUACACAUAGGAAACGGUUGACCGUGACAAACCCAGGAGUGUUGCAGUUCUUGACACAAACCGGUGUGCCUGGCACCUACUACCAUACCCCGUUCAAAGGCACUUACAUUUUGUGUCUUGCCCAUUCAGCAUCUGAAUGGCACAUGUACACAACCCAUGGUGGAUUUAACAAGUGACAUCAAUAAGGGGUCAUAGCUUUCACCUGGAUUAACCUGGUCAGUCUAUAUCAUGGAAAGAGCACGUGUUCUUAAUGUUUUGUAAGCUCAGUGUACAGUAAUACAAAAGUGACAGUAGCUAUACAUAUUUAUAUACAGUAUUUGUUCAAUUGUAGCUCAAUCAUAGGUCAUAAAGCAUGACAAUAUACACUUGUGAAAUCUAUUAUCAAAUAUCACAUGAAAACAUCUUCUUUCUUGCUUCUUUUGUCCUUUUGGUUUUUCUUUUUAUCAGAAUAGAAUAGUUAAGACAAAAUAGUAGAGACAUUGUCCAUUGACAGGGAUUCCUGUCUGUACGAUAUCUCUAGUUUCUGUAGAAUCCUUUUGGUGUGGGGCUGUAACAGAGGAAAACAGAAUGGUUAGCACUGUAUAUAACCAUUCUCACACAGUAUUUCUCAAAUAUGGGAGGUGCAACAGAUAGCCCAAGUCAACAAAAAUGUAGUGGGCAAGAGAGGCAAAAAACGUUUAGGCUUCUACCUUGAACAUGCAUCACCUUGAACAACUCUGCACAUUCAAGGCCAAUACACAGACUUUUGUGUGUGUGUGUGUGUGUGUGUGUGUGUGUGUGUGUGUGUGUGUGUGUGUGUGUGUGUGUGUGUGUGUGUGUGUGUGUGUGUGUGUGUGUGUGUGUGUGUGUGUGUGUGUGUGUGUGUGUGUGUGUGUGUGUGUGUGUGUUCUUCUCAUCGUAACCACAUGUUUGUUUAUAGGAAGCCCUGGAAAAAGAGGCAAAUAGGAUUGGUGGGUUUAAUAACUACUUCUGGAUCGGCCUAUCAGACAGAGAGCUGGAGGGGGACUGGAGAUGGGUGGACAACACAACGCUCACAAAAACCUUCUGGAAACAGUUCAGUUUGGAGCCUGAUAACAACAUCUCCGGUGGGGUUGAAGGGGAGGACUGUGUGGUCAUGGAGAGUAACACUCAUGUGUGGUCCGACGUGCCCUGUGACUUUACCUACCGCCGCAUCUGUCAAAUGGAUGCCAUCCCCAUUACUUCCCCUUGAAUCAGCGGGUGAAAGACACCGCUGACCAUGAAAUUAACUUAGAGUGGCAGGGAUUCAAUAGAAGGCGCAUUGCAGGGUUGCACUGUUGACAAUGUGCAUUUCUACAACGUGCAUUGGAUUGAAUCCCAGUCGCGGUAUGUAUAAUCAGUCAAAACAAAUGAAGAAGUGACAGUUGGUAUCUACUUGUGUUGGUGUCUACUCACCACUGAAGGUAUUUCAAUAAAGCUGCCAGUCAGUCACCCAUCA
Salmo salar (Atlantic salmon) is the source of this 1710-nucleotide non-coding RNA. Lineage: Eukaryota; Metazoa; Chordata; Actinopteri; Salmoniformes; Salmonidae. The record is from RefSeq and is a predicted model, not a curated record.